Molecule: long non-coding RNA, 1219 nt
Filed under: Struthio camelus australis
Lineage: Eukaryota; Metazoa; Chordata; Aves; Struthioniformes; Struthionidae
Description: lncRNA (ENSSCUG00000013150.1)
Source: RNAcentral
NNNNNNNNNNNNNNNNNNNNNNNNNNNNNNNNNNNNNNNNNNNNNNNNNNNNNNNNNNNAGGACGCGCCGUGCGGCUGCGGCGCCCCGGGGCUCUGCUGCGCCGCCGUCCCUCGCUCCCACCCCAUGCCACCGUCCCUCGCCACAUCCCUCGCAGCCGUCCCUCGCCCCCGUCCUGCAUCACCAUCCCUCGCUCCCAUCCUGCGCCACCAUCCCUCAUCACUGUCCCUCAGCCCUGUCCUUUGCCCCUGUCCAGCGCCACCAUCCCUCACCACCGCCCUGUGCCACCAUCCCUCACCCUGUACCUCACCCACAUCGUGUGCCACCAUCCCUCACCCCCAUCCCCUACCACCAUGCCUCACCACCAUCCCUCACCCCGUCCCAUAUCACCAUCCCUCACCACCAUCCCUUGCCACUGUCCUGUGCCACCAUCCCUCACCACCGUCCUUUGCCACUAUCCCUUGCCCUGUCCCUCGCCUCCAUCCAGUGCCACCAUCCCUCGCCCCCAUCCCAUCCCACCAUCCCUCACCACCAUCCCUCACCCCUGUUCCAUCCCACCAUCCCUCACCACCAUCCCUCACCACUGUGCUGUGCCACCAUCCCUCGCCCUGUACCUCGCCCACAUCCUGUGCCACCAUCCCUCGUCCUUUCCCUUGCCUCCAUCCAGUGCCACCAUCCCUUGCCCGCGUCCCAUACCACUAUCCCUCACCAUCAUCCCUCACCCCGUCCCAUACCACCAUCCCUCGCCCCCGUCCCAUACCACCAUCCCUUACCACCAUCCCUUGCCACCAUUCCUCGCCCCGUCCCUUGCCCCGUCCCAUACCACCAUCCCUCACCCCUGCCCCUCACCCCCGCCCCGCACCCCCAUCCUGUGCCACCAUCCCUCACCAUCAUCCCUCGCCCCAUCCCAUACUACCAUCGCUCACCCCUGUCCCAUACCACCAUCCCUCACCACCAUCCCUCACCCCUGUCCCAUACCACCAUCCCUCCCCCCCGUCCCACACCACCAUCCCUCGCCCCCGUCCCAUGCCCCCAUCCCUCACCACCAUCACUCGCCCCAUCCCAUACUACCAUCCCUCACCCCCAUCCCAUACCACCAUCCCUCACCCCCAUCCUGCGCCCCCGUCCAGUGCCACCAUCUCUCGCCACCAUCUGCAUACUUCCAGGGCGGGUCGGGACUCCCGCGCGCAGCCCCAAAGCUCCCUAUUAAAUAUUAACGCA